Molecule: unclassified non-coding RNA, 282 nt
Filed under: Pleosporales sp.
Lineage: Eukaryota; Fungi; Ascomycota; Dothideomycetes; Pleosporales
Description: partial contains 5.8S ribosomal RNA, internal transcribed spacer 2, and large subunit ribosomal RNA
Rfam family: 5.8S ribosomal RNA (bases 1-71)
Source: RNAcentral
GUGAGUCAUCGAAUCUUUGAACGCACAUUGCGCCCUUCGGUAUUCCGUUGGGCAUGCCUGUUCGAGCGUCAUUAGAAACUUCAAGCUCAGCUUGGUGUUGGGUGCUUGUCCCCGUUCGCGGCGGACUCACCUCAAAUGCAUUGGCGGCCGGUAUGUUGGCUACAGCGCAGUACAACGCGUCUGGCGUCUUGAUAUACUGGUCCUCCAGAAGCCCCUUCUUUGACUUGACCUCGGAUCAGGUAGGGAUACCCGCUGAACUUAAGCAUAUCAAUAAGCGGAGGA